RNAcentral lists this ribosomal RNA (509 nucleotides) under uncultured bacterium. RNAcentral describes it as "bacterial SSU rRNA". It matches the Rfam family "Bacterial small subunit ribosomal RNA", at positions 28 to 528 of the family's 1533-position model. The record is from RNAcentral.
GACGAACGCUGGCGGCGUGGAUUAGGCAUGCAAGUCGAACGGUAUCAUCCUUUCGGGGGUGAGAGAGUGGCGAACUGGUGAGUAACACGUAGGUUAUCUACCCUCAAGACGGGGACAACCCAGGGAAACUUGGGCUAAUACCGGAUGUGAGCAACUUUUAGUUGUUUGAAAGGUGGCGUAAGCUGUCGCUUGGGGAUGAGCCUGCGUCCUAUUAGUUAGUUGGUGAGGUAACGGCUCACCUAGGCAAUGAUAGGUAGGCGGCCUUAACGGGUGGUCGCCCACACUGGGAUUGAGAUACGGCCCAGACUCCUACGGGAGGCAGCAGUCGAGAAUAGUCUACAAUGGUCGGAAGACUGAUAGUGCGACGCCGCGUGAACGAUGAAUCCCUUCGGGGUGUAAAGUUCUUUUAUAUGUGAGCAGUGCUUCUUAUAUUAACAGUAUGGGGAGAGAGAUAUUAGCAUAUGAAUAAGCAACGGCUAACUCCGUGCCAGCAAGCCGCGGUAAAACGU